AUUGAACGCUGGCGGCAGGCUUAACACAUGCAAGUCGAGCGGGGGAAGGUAGCUUGCUACCGGACCUAGCGGCGGAUGGGUGAGUAAUGCUUAGGAAUCUGCCUAUUAGUGGGGGACAACAUCUCGAAAGGGAUGCUAAUACCGCAUACGUCCUACGGGAGAAAGCAGGGGAUCUUCGGACCUUGCGCUAAUAGAUGAGCCUAAGUCGGAUUAGCUAGUUGGUGGGGUAAAGGCCUACCAAGGCGACGAUCUGUAGCGGGUCUGAGAGGAUGAUCCGCCACACUGGGACUGGGACACGGCCCAGACUCCUACGGGAGGCAGCAGUGGGGAAUAUUGGACAAUGGGGGGAACCCUGAUCCAGCCAUGCCGCGUGUGUGAAGAAGGCCUUAUGGUUGUAAAGCACUUUAAGCGAGGAGGAGGCUACUCUAGUUAAUACCUAGGGAUAGUGGACGUUACUCGCAGAAUAAGCACCGGCUAACUCUGUGCCAGCCGCCGCAGUAA
This 501-nucleotide ribosomal RNA is filed under the name uncultured bacterium. RNAcentral's name for it is "partial 16S ribosomal RNA". It matches the Rfam family "Bacterial small subunit ribosomal RNA", at positions 30 to 523 of the family's 1533-position model. The record is from RNAcentral.